CGGAUUUGGACCAUUGUAAUCAGCUGGUGUUUUGUAGCGGUGGUAUCUCGGCUCCUAUGAUGGCAGAUAUUGUUCAAGGCUUUACUAGAGAGUUUGCAAGUCCUGAGGGGCAAUGGGGGAUAGGGUUGAAUCUUGGACAAGCGCCCAUCAGUUGGGUGUGGCUCCUCCUUGGUGGGUGCGCACUCUCACGCAGGUCUUGACUUUGUCUUGUGAUGUUGGUUGGAGACAGGAUGCUGGAGUGGGGGCCUCGGGUUGGGUUUUGAUGGACCAUGAAGGUCAACUUUGUGGUGUAAGUUGCCGACGUGUCAGUGGUGGGUAUGACUCUUUGAUGUUGGAGGUGUGGGAUAUUGCUAAUGGGUUGAAGGUGUUGCUUCUCGGGGUUUCCAUCCGCUUAUUGUGGAGUCAAAUAGUUUGACAUCAAUUAGACUUUUAAAGGGGGAAAAGAUAAAUUUGACAACAAUCAUGUCACUUGUGGAGG
RNAcentral lists this unclassified non-coding RNA (478 nucleotides) under Hevea brasiliensis (rubber tree). Lineage: Eukaryota; Viridiplantae; Streptophyta; Magnoliopsida; Malpighiales; Euphorbiaceae. The record is from RNAcentral.